RNAcentral lists this long non-coding RNA (1128 nucleotides) under Bos grunniens (domestic yak). RNAcentral describes it as "lncRNA (ENSBGRG00000022085.1)". The record is from RNAcentral. Lineage: Eukaryota; Metazoa; Chordata; Mammalia; Artiodactyla; Bovidae.
AUGAGAUUAAAAAGCUACAAAGUGAAUGCCUCAGAGAAAGCAUCUUUACACAGGGUAGCCCGCACAGGGGUCGUGUGGUCUGGAGGACCCUGGACCAAAGAGGACUUCCUGCUUCUGGUCCUGGCUUAUAAAACACACCGGAAAACCAUUCGCUCAACUUUUCUAAGAAAUUUCCUCGGGGGGUGGGGAGGGUGUGCAGGUGCAGGGACAUGCAGAAACUGUCACCGCAACUCCCUAAGUUACGAGUUACUGUCCACGAACUCCCCCGCCUUGGCGAGUACAGCGGCAGUGGAAGGACCUUCGGUGCCGGAGGAGGUCAAGGCCGGCGCUCAGGGCUCUGCCCGCCGGGCCCGAGGCCGUGUCCUCCCCAGCUCUCUUUCUUCCGUGAACUCCAUCUGUCUUCCUCCAUCUCGCGUCUGCCCCACUACACAGAGCCCCCAGUCCCGGGGCCCCGGCGCACACACACUCACACACACGCCCCACCGCCCCUCGUGCUGGCGGCUCCCCGGGCGCAGCCUGCGGGGACGCACGGGCACGACGCUGUCUCUCGCGUCCUUAAACUCUCUUCACACACGGCCGCGCGCACUCCCACGCGCAAGGUCACGCACACAGGGGCGCUGUCACGGGCUGUCACACACGGCCAGACUCGGUUCACACGCAGUGACACGCUCGCUCUGCCCACACACGGUCACGCACACCCUGCCCCCGGCUCCCACCGGCCCCGACGCCCUCAGCCGCCCACCCGCCCGCCGGCCGGCCUGCCCACGCGCCGCGCAGGACGCCUCACCUCUCCUCGCCCGGCGCCGAGCAGCCCGCGGCCGGGGCGGGGACUCGAUCUCGCCGCGAGCGGCGGUCUCACAAAGGGGCCGCGGCGCCCGGGCGGGCAGCCGGCGCCGGCCGCGGGGGCCGCCGGGAGCUGGAGUCCUGUACCGGUCCCGGGGCGGCGCGGAGCAUGCCGGGACUGCCGGCCCCAGGCGCGGGCAACUUCCGGCUUCGUCCCCUCGGGUCGUCUCUGCCGCGCUCCCGCAGGCCCGGCCUUCCGACCCAGAGCCGACCCGGCCCAGCCCUCAGGCCGGCGGACCCAUGGCCCGGCCGCCGAGUCCGCCUAGACCUGGAUGGCCGGCGUGA